Balaenoptera musculus (blue whale) is the source of this 107-nucleotide small nuclear RNA. The record is from Ensembl. Lineage: Eukaryota; Metazoa; Chordata; Mammalia; Artiodactyla; Balaenopteridae.
GUGCUUGCUUCAGCAGCACGUAUACUAAAAUUGGAAUGAUACAGAGAAGAUUAGCAUGGCCCCUGCGGAAGGAUGACAAGCAAAUUCAUGAAGCAUUCCAUAUUUUU